CACGUAGGGUGCGAGCGUUGUCCGGAAUUAUUGGGCGUAAAGAGCUCGUAGGCGGUGUGUCGCGUCGGCCGUGAAAACCUGCAGCUUAACUGUGGGCUUGCGGUCGAUACGGGCAUCACUGGAGUUCGGCAGGGAGACUGGAAUUCCUGGUGUAGCGGUGAAAUGCGCAGAUAUCAGGAGGAACACCGGUGGCGAAGGCGGGUCUCUGGGCCGAUACUGACGCUGAGGAGCGAAAGCGUGGGAGCGAACAGG
This 252-nucleotide ribosomal RNA is filed under the name uncultured bacterium. Its description in RNAcentral is "partial 16S ribosomal RNA". It matches the Rfam family "Bacterial small subunit ribosomal RNA", at positions 524 to 776 of the family's 1533-position model. The record is from RNAcentral.